This 408-nucleotide ribosomal RNA is filed under the name uncultured bacterium. Its description in RNAcentral is "partial 16S ribosomal RNA". It matches the Rfam family "Bacterial small subunit ribosomal RNA", at positions 28 to 526 of the family's 1533-position model. The record is from RNAcentral.
GACGAACGCUGGCGGCGUGCUUAACACAUGCAAGUCGAACGAAGUGGCGAACGGGUGAGUAACGCGUAAUCAACCUGCCCUUCAGAGGGGGACAACAGUUGGAAACGACUGCUAAUACCGAAUACUGCAGGUGGGGAUUGCGUCUGAUUAGCUAGUUGGAGGGGUAACGGCCCACCAAGGCGAUGAUCAGUAGGCGGUCUGGGAGGAUGGACAGGCACAUUGGGAAUGUGACGAGUCCCAGACUCCUACGGGAGGCAGCAGUGGGGAAUCUUCCGGAAUGGACGAAAGUCUGACGGGGCAAAGCCGCGUGAGUUGUGACGGGCUUCGGGUUGUAAAGCUCUGUUAAUCGGGACGCGGUACCGGAAUAGAAAGCCACGGCUAACUACGUGCCAGCAGCCGCGGUAAUUC